RNAcentral lists this ribosomal RNA (305 nucleotides) under uncultured bacterium. RNAcentral describes it as "bacterial SSU rRNA". It matches the Rfam family "Bacterial small subunit ribosomal RNA", at positions 334 to 656 of the family's 1533-position model. The record is from RNAcentral.
GUGCCUACGGGGCGCAGCAGUGGGGGAUAUUGCACAAUGGGGGAAACCCUGAUGCAGCGACGCCGCGUGGGCGAAGAAGUAUUUCGGUAUGUAAAGCCCUAUCAGCAGGGAAGAAGAAAUGACGGUACCUGAGUAAGAAGCACCGGCUAAAUACGUGCCAGCAGCCGCGGUAAUACGGAGGAUGCGAGCGUUAUCCGGAUUUAUUGGGUUUAAAGGGUGCAUAGGCGGACUGGAAAGUCAGCGGUAAAAUCGAGAGGCUCAACCUCUUUCCGCCGUUGAAACUGUCGGUCUUGAGUGGGCGAGAA